RNAcentral lists this ribosomal RNA (1058 nucleotides) under Escherichia coli. RNAcentral describes it as "partial 23S ribosomal RNA". It matches the Rfam family "Bacterial large subunit ribosomal RNA", at positions 139 to 1238 of the family's 2925-position model. Lineage: Bacteria; Pseudomonadati; Pseudomonadota; Gammaproteobacteria; Enterobacterales; Enterobacteriaceae. The record is from RNAcentral.
UUCGUCACACUAUCAUUAACUGAAUCCAUAGGUUAAUGAGGCGAACCGGGGGAACUGAAACAUCUAAGUACCCCGAGGAAAAGAAAUCAACCGAGAUUCCCCCAGUAGCGGCGAGCGAACGGGGAGGAGCCCAGAGCCUGAAUCAGUGUGUGUGUUAGUGGAAGCGUCUGGAAAGGCGCGCGAUACAGGGUGACAGCCCCGUACACAAAAAUGCACAUACUGUGAGCUCGAUGAGUAGGGCGGGACACGUGGUAUCCUGUCUGAAUAUGGGGGGACCAUCCUCCAAGGCUAAAUACUCCUGACUGACCGAUAGUGAACCAGUACCGUGAGGGAAAGGCGAAAAGAACCCCGGCGAGGGGAGUGAAAAAGAACCUGAAACCGUGUACGUACAAGCAGUGGGAGCCUCUUUAUGGGGUGACUGCGUACCUUUUGUAUAAUGGGUCAGCGACUUAUAUUCUGUAGCAAGGUUAACCGAAUAGGGGAGCCGAAGGGAAACCGAGUCUUAACUGGGCGUUAAGUUGCAGGGUAUAGACCCGAAACCCGGUGAUCUAGCCAUGGGCAGGUUGAAGGUUGGGUAACACUAACUGGAGGACCGAACCGACUAAUGUUGAAAAAUUAGCGGAUGACUUGUGGCUGGGGGUGAAAGGCCAAUCAAACCGGGAGAUAGCUGGUUCUCCCCGAAAGCUAUUUAGGUAGCGCCUCGUGAAUUCAUCUCCGGGGGUAGAGCACUGUUUCGGCAAGGGGGUCAUCCCGACUUACCAACCCGAUGCAAACUGCGAAUACCGGAGAAUGUUAUCACGGGAGACACACGGCGGGUGCUAACGUCCGUCGUGAAGAGGGAAACAACCCAGACCGCCAGCUAAGGUCCCAAAGUCAUGGUUAAGUGGGAAACGAUGUGGGAAGGCCCAGACAGCCAGGAUGUUGGCUUAGAAGCAGCCAUCAUUUAAAGAAAGCGUAAUAGCUCACUGGUCGAGUCGGCCUGCGCGGAAGAUGUAACGGGGCUAAACCAUGCACCGAAGCUGCGGCAGCGACACUAUGUGUUGUUGGGUAGGGGAGCG